AACACCUCUACUAGGUACAGGUAUAUAUAUGAGACUCAUAAAUAAUGUGCUCAGAUUAUGAUGCAUUAUUGAUAAGGAUGCAAACGAGUAAGUUUGUAUGUGAUUAAUUCCUUGCUUUUACUUACGUUUUAACGUUUUUAUGAGAUAUGAUUGAAUAUGGAAUAAUUAAUUUAGGUGAAUUACGAAUUAUGGUUGAAUAUGG
RNAcentral lists this long non-coding RNA (202 nucleotides) under Gossypium barbadense (sea-island cotton). RNAcentral describes it as "long non-coding RNA (GBAR_LNC017546)". The record is from RNAcentral. Lineage: Eukaryota; Viridiplantae; Streptophyta; Magnoliopsida; Malvales; Malvaceae.